UAAAAUCCCUUGUAAAUCUUUUA
RNAcentral lists this non-coding RNA (23 nucleotides) under Arabidopsis thaliana (thale cress). Lineage: Eukaryota; Viridiplantae; Streptophyta; Magnoliopsida; Brassicales; Brassicaceae. The record is from RNAcentral.